GGGCCUGUAGUCUAGUGGCUAUGACAUCGCCUCGACACGGCGAAGGUCGCCGGUUCGAAUCCGGCCAGGCCCA
RNAcentral lists this transfer RNA (73 nucleotides) under Nanobdellota archaeon. RNAcentral's name for it is "tRNA-Val". It matches the Rfam family "tRNA". From Rfam's summary of the family: Transfer RNA (tRNA) molecules are approximately 80 nucleotides in length. Their secondary structure includes four short double-helical elements and three loops (D, anti-codon, and T loops). Further hydrogen bonds mediate the characteristic L-shaped molecular structure. tRNAs have two regions of fundamental functional importance: the anti-codon, which is responsible for specific mRNA codon recognition, and the 3' end, to which the tRNAs corresponding amino acid is attached (by aminoacyl-tRNA synthetases). tRNAs cope with the degeneracy of the genetic code in two manners: having more than one tRNA (with a specific anti-codon) for a particular amino acid; and 'wobble' base-pairing, i.e. permitting non-standard base-pairing at the 3rd anti-codon position. Lineage: Archaea; Nanobdellati; Nanobdellota. The record is from RNAcentral.